Long non-coding RNA from Neofelis nebulosa (Clouded leopard), 685 nucleotides. RefSeq lists it as uncharacterized. The record is from RefSeq and is a predicted model, not a curated record. NCBI's taxonomy places the organism in Eukaryota, Metazoa, Chordata, Mammalia, Carnivora, Felidae. The transcript is spliced from 2 exons.
AGCCCUAUGGCACAGCAGGGUGGGGGUCAGUCCCAGGCUGGCUAGUACCCGCCCCCCCCCCCCGCCCCCACUUAUGAAGUCUUUAGGGGAGGAAAUGCUUCUCUGGUGGUGUUUCUUUCUGCCUCAUUGAUCAACAGAAUGAUCCCACCAAACAAUUUGCAGGUGUCCCUGUCUACCCAGAGGAAAACCAAGGUCACUUGCUGUGCCAUCUGGGGUGGGGUGAGGGGUAUGGGGCAGUGUUCUGAGAUACCCAUCCUGAGCUCCCAAACUAGUCACCUCAUGUCCUCCACCAUCACCUCCUGGCUGGAUUAGGACGGGUAUGCUUUCCCCUGUGCCCACAGGGGUCUAGAACAAGCCUACCCCACUCCCACUUUCUCCACUCUCAGCAGCUCCCACUCCUCUGCCUUGGACCCCAUGCGCUUCGGUGCCUUGGGAAGAAAGGCUCUCCUCCCCUCCUCUGUGGUCAGCACCACCUGCCAUCUGCAGAACAACCAACGCCCACCCUGUGCUCUCCUGUAACACCUCUUCCCCUUCUGCCACCAACAGGUGUAACUCUCCCUCGUCUGCCCUGACUCUAUCCUCAUCUGUUCUUACCACCAAAAUUCCUGAAAAAAAGGACCCUAUAUUUGCUGAUGCGAUGUGUCCAAUGUGUUCAUUCUUCUCAUUAAAACUGGGAUUCAACUUC